Molecule: ribosomal RNA, 310 nt
Filed under: Streptocephalus sealii
Lineage: Eukaryota; Metazoa; Arthropoda; Branchiopoda; Anostraca; Streptocephalidae
Description: partial 12S ribosomal RNA
Source: RNAcentral
GGGUAGUAAUUUAAAACCUAAAGAAUUUGGCGGUUCUUAAACUUACUAGAGGAACCUGUCCUAUAAUCGAUAGUCCACGAUCUUGUUUACCUACUUUUGUCGUCAGCUUAUAUACCGCCGUUUAGUGAAUUAAAUAAAUAAGUUCCCUUAAUUAAUUAGUUAAACAAAUCAGGUCAAGGUGUAGCUUAUGGGUAGGAAGAGAUGGGUUACAAUAUUAAUUUAAACGGAUAGUAUAACUUAGGUUACACUUAAAGGUGGAUUUAGAAGUAAAUCUUGCAGAUUUGAAGCGAGCUCUUAAGAAUGUACACAU